UGAUGUUAUGAUGAUGGGUAAAAUGUUCAGCUGCUCUGAAUGGACUCAAUGAAUACAGCCUUUUGAACAGUG
This is a small nucleolar RNA of Nycticebus coucang (slow loris), 72 nucleotides long. RefSeq annotates it as small nucleolar RNA Z40. NCBI's taxonomy places the organism in Eukaryota, Metazoa, Chordata, Mammalia, Primates, Lorisidae. The record is from RefSeq and is a predicted model, not a curated record. The transcript has a single exon.